CUCGUAGGCGGUCUGUUGCGUCCGCUGUGAAAACUCGGGGCUUAACCCCGAGCCUGCAGUGGAUACGGGCAGACUAGAGGUAGGUAGGGGAGAAUGGAAUUCCCGGUGUAGCGGUGAAAUGCGCAGAUAUCGGGAGGAACACCGGUGGCGAAGGCGGUUCUCUGGGCCUUACCUGACGCUGAGGAGCGAAAGCGUGGGGAAGCAAACA
This 208-nucleotide ribosomal RNA is filed under the name uncultured bacterium. RNAcentral describes it as "partial 16S ribosomal RNA". It matches the Rfam family "Bacterial small subunit ribosomal RNA", at positions 568 to 774 of the family's 1533-position model. The record is from RNAcentral.